Juglans regia (Persian walnut) is the source of this 626-nucleotide long non-coding RNA. RefSeq lists it as uncharacterized. The record is from RefSeq and is a predicted model, not a curated record. The transcript has 3 exons. Lineage: Eukaryota; Viridiplantae; Streptophyta; Magnoliopsida; Fagales; Juglandaceae.
GGGGGGGGGGGGUGCCGUGGAUGCCAUCAGCCAGGUUGUCAAGUGUUUGUCUUGCUUCUUCCACGAGGGUUCCUCUCAUUUGGCAGCCUUAAUUAUGGACGUCAAAGAGGCCGUUGAGCAAGAAAACCAAGCCGUUUGUGCGAUGACCCAGACUGCCCUAUGGCACGCUCGCGACGAGAGGGAACGACUGGAGCAAGAGUUGAGGAGGGUAGGACUUGCAUUGGAGGAGGGUAGCAAGAAAACUAAGAAGCUAGCCGCCGUCAGAAGAGGCUAAAGGAGAAGUUGAGAGGGAAGAUGCCCAGGGGAUGAGGGGUGCCAUGUGGAUGCCAUCAGCCAGGUUGACAAGUGUUUGUCCUGCUUCUUCCACGAGGGUUCCUCUCAUUUGGCAGCCUUAAUUAUGGACGUCAAAGAGGCCGUUGAGCAAGAAAACCAAGCCGUUUGUGCGAUGACCCAGACUGCCCUAUGGCACGCUCGCGACGAGAGGGAACGACUGGAGCAAGAGUUGAGGAGGGUAGGACUUGCAUUGGAGGAGGGUAGCAAGAAAACUAAGAAGCUAGCCGCCGUCAGAAGAGGCUAAAGGAGAAGUUGAGAGGGAAGAUGCCCAGGGGAUGAGGGGUGCCAUGUGG